CCCCAAAAUUUUAUUCCCUCCUAAAAGUUCCAUUCGCUCAAAUUUCAUUCCCCCUAAAGUAACCCUAACUUCUACAUUGCCCCCUUUCUUUACUCCUUACCCCAAUCGACUUACAAAUUAGUUACCAGUUUCGCCCUAGAAGACGACGGGUAGCAUAGGAACAGGGUACAAUCUACCAGAUGCAACUUUUUUUGUCGGAUGGUAGGGAUUUUCAAAUUGAUUACACCACUAAAGCCAUUGACAACAACGACACCAUCAGCGGAGUUAUUGGAAUAGAGAAGCAGAUUGCGUUCAAGAUGAUGUUGCCUGGAUCUAAUUGUAGAAUUUUAUUAGGUGCAUCGCCAUUCUAGAUGGUGUAGCUAGAUUAGCUUAAGAUGGGAGACAGAUUGUUGCAAGAGCCAAAUCUAAAGCCCACAACUAUGAAAGGUCAUAUCACCUUCCCGCUGUAUUUUACUUGCCCUCUUUUGUGUUACUCUCUCCUGAUAUAUAUUUAGGUACUGGAGAGACCGAGAGGCCUUAAGCUGGGUUUGGAUAAACUUUGAAGAUGAUACGAAUGUAUAUAUAUGACAAUACUGAAUUACAUGUAUACUCUUAAACUUUGUUUGAGCUUAUAACAUGUUUGGUGAAGGUUGUUGCUUAAAAGCUACUUAUCUUGUGAAGCACGUGUGCAAACGGAAACCCUAAAUUCAUAAGUCCCUUGUUCGAAUCUGAUUAGCCUUAAAUUCAGAUUUCAUCAACAGCUCCUCUUAACGCUUUCUGGUCUUCUGUUCAAGCAACUCCCUAAAUUACAGAUUAAGUCAGAAUGCUCUUUCUACUCCAGCAUGCACCAUCCUCAGGUCUUAUAUCCCAAAAACUUCUGUCUCAAUUCUCAUUGGAUCUUGGUAAGAAAUUCGUAUUGACGGAGGUGGGUCGGUCGUUGUAUUGUAUUCUGAUGGGAGAGUAUACCUGGAUCGGUUGGGAAUAGAUAUCACUGUGAUGUGGCAGAUCAGAGACUUGCUCAACAUAUUCACAAAGGAAACGAAGAUGGGUUGCUCAUCAGCAGUGUGGCUCCUUGCUCAAACCUAUGGGCUCUUAUAAUGGAUUCUUGCACUGGUAUCACCUCUCAAGUUUACCAACUCUCUCCCUCAUUUCUCAACAAGGAUUAGAUUAUGCAACAGUGGGAGAAAUCCUGCUAUAUUGGCGUGAUAGCAUGUGCGAACAACGAGAGUUCUUUGGUUAAGGGUACCCAAUUCAUUCAGCAGUGUUACAACGUCAGUGAAUCAUUUUCUUUUUAGUGAAUAAAUAAUAAAUGGAGAGAAAGGUUCCAUAUCACUAUUAUGGCAACUGCGAGAACCAAAUGGGCAAUUGUUAUGUCCCGUGGCGCUGGAUUCUCUGACCAGGUAUGCAUAAACGAUGGGAUGCUGGGUAUAUGAUAACAUUAACUGCAUCUACAUCAAACCAAGCUGCUUUUGUUCUUAGCAUCCGAGAAGAAAACUUGCAGAUGAUACACAGGACACACUUCGCACUUCUGUGUAUCCUAGCACACAUGUCAAGGGCAAUGGCCGUGUAUGCUUCACAAAGUGGUGCCAACAUAAGGGUUAAACUCAUCUGGAUUAACGCUAGGUGUCCACGUCAGCCAGGAGGUACUGAAUGUGGCUACUAUGUGAUGAAGUUCAUGAAGGAGAUAGCUUACGAAGGAGUUGAAAUACUUGACAAUGAUAAUGUUGGGAAAGGAGUAGAGGAAUACUCGGCUGCGGAUAUGGAUGGCAUUCGGGAAGAUUGGUUGACUUAUGCGGUUAACUCUAUUUUUAAGUUAUAAAUCGUAUUUUAGGUGUUGAUGUGUGUCGGUGUGUAUAUAAUUUAGAUAUAUUUUUAAGCCCUUUUUACACUUUUA
This is an RNA transcript of Helianthus annuus (common sunflower), 1873 nucleotides long. RefSeq lists it as uncharacterized. The transcript is spliced from 13 exons. NCBI's taxonomy places the organism in Eukaryota, Viridiplantae, Streptophyta, Magnoliopsida, Asterales, Asteraceae. The record is from RefSeq and is a predicted model, not a curated record.